Molecule: ribosomal RNA, 3470 nt
Filed under: human oral metagenome
Description: bacterial LSU rRNA
Rfam family: Bacterial large subunit ribosomal RNA
Source: RNAcentral
GUAAGCUACUAAGAGUAAGUGGUGGAUGCCUUGGCUAGUAGAGGCGAUGAAAGACGUGCCAGGCUGCGAUAAGUCUCGGGGAGCCGUCAAGGGGCUUUGAUCCGGGAAUUUCUGAAUGGGGCAACCCAGUUAAGCGCGAGCUUAACUACCUAAUAUGGAGCGAACGAGGGGAAUUGAAACAUCUUAGUACCCUCAGGAAAAGAAAUCAAAAGAGAUUACGCCAGUAGCGGCGAGCGAACGCGUAAGAGGGCAAACCGUUAGUUUACUAACGGGGUUGUAGGACUGCGAUAUAGACUAAACUUAGCUAAUAGAAUAAUCUGGAAAGAUUAAGCAUAGAGGGUGAUACUCCCGUAUAUGAAAGCUUUGUUUUACUUAGCGGUAUCCUGAGUAGGGCGGAACACGUGAUAUUCUGUCUGAAGCCGGGUCGACCACGAUCCAACCCUAAAUACUACUACUAGACCGAUAGCGCACAAGUACCGUGAGGGAAAGGUGAAAAGAACUGAGGUGAUCAGAGUGAAAUAGAACCUGAAACCAUUUACUUACAAUCAUUCAGAGCACUAUGUGGGUCUGUUUGAAUAUUAAAGACGGCUUGUCUUUUGAGCGUUUUUAAAUGAGUUCGUAUUUUUCUCAAUCGACAGCCUAUAUGGCUAGUCUCAAUCGAAAAAUACUUCACAACAUUUAAAUCCGUCUCAAAAUACCGCGCCUUUAGGGCGGUAUCUAUCUUGUUUUUAUAAUUUUUAUAAAUUAUCGAAUUAAAUUUAAAAUUUUAAAAGUAAAGAGAAAUAAAACUCCUAAAAUUAAAAUUUCAAACCGUAGAUUAAAUUUAAAAUUUAAAACGAACAAGAUAAGACAAUCCAAGAUUAGUAUUGAAACAGAUCCACAGUGUGAUGGACUGCCUUUUGCAUAAUGAGCCUGCGAGUUGUGGUGUCUGGCGAGGUUAAGGAAACCCGGAGCCGUAGCGAAAGCGAGUCUUAAUAGGGCGUUUAGUCAGAUGCUGCAGACCCGAAACGAUGUGAUCUAUCCAUGAGCAGGUUGAAGCCGGUGUAAGAGCCGGUGGAGGACCCAACCCGCUGGCGUUGAAAAGCCAUGGGAUGACUUGUGGAUAGGGGUGAAAGGCCAAUCAAACAUCGUGAUAGCUGGUUCUCUCCGAAAUAUAUUUAGGUAUAGCGUCAUGUAGUAACACUAGGGGGUAGAGCACUGAAUGGGCUAGGGCAUACACCAAUGUACCAAACCCUAUCAAACUCCGAAUACCUAGUGCGUAAUCAUGGCAGUCAGGCGGCGAGUGAUAAAAUCCGUCGUCGAGAGGGGAACAACCCAGACUAACAGCUAAGGUCCCUAAAUCUCAUUUAAGUGGAAAACGAUGUGAAGUUACUUAAACAACCAGGAGGUUGGCUUAGAAGCAGCCAUCCUUUAAAGAAAGCGUAAUAGCUCACUGGUCUAGUGAUUUUGCGCGGAAAAUAUAACGGGGCUAAAAUGAGUACCGAAGCUUUAGAUAGUGUCUAUGAUUAUUUAUACUAGCUUGUCUCUUUGGCAUCUUUAAAUGAGUUUGUAUUUUUCUCAAUCGACAGCCUAUAUGGCUAGUCUCAAUCGAAAAAUACUUCACAACAUUUAAAUCUGCUCAAAGAUACUUCGCUUUUUGCAUUCAAAUUUGAAUGCAACGUCUUAAUCUAAAUUUAGAAAUUUCAAAUUUCUUAGAAUUUUAAAAUUUAGCAACAAAAGCAAAAAGACAAGCCUAAGUAAAGUAUAAAUACUCAUAGACACUGUGGUAGGAGAGCGUUGCAUUCAGCGUCGAAGGUGUACCGGUAAGGAGCGCUGGAGCGAAUGCAAGUGAGCAUGCAGGCAUGAGUAGCGAUAAUUGGGGUGAGAAUCCCCAACGCCGUAAACCCAAGGUUUCCUACGCGAUGCUCGUCAUCGUAGGGUUAGCCGGGUCCUAAGCAAAGUCCGAAAGGGGUAUGCGAUGGAAAAUUGGUUAAUAUUCCAAUGCCAACUAUAAUGUGCGAUGGAAGGACGCUUAGAGUUAGAGGAGCCAGCGGAUGGUAGUGCUGGUCGAAAGGUGUAGGUUAAGAUCCAGGCAAAUCCGGAUCUUUUUAAGCCGAGACCCCACAGGCACACAAAGUUCUUCGGAACAGCGUGUGAAUCCUUGAUACUGUCGAGCCAAGAAAAGUUUCUAAGUUUAGUUAUAGUUGCCCGUACCGUAAACCGACACAGGUGGGUGGGAUGAGUAUUCUAAGGCGCGUGGAAGAACUCUCUUCAAGGAACUCUGCAAAAUAGCACCGUAUCUUCGGUAUAAGGUGUGCCUAGCUUCGUUAAGAAUUUACUUCGUAAGCGAAGAAGGUUACAACAAAGAGUCCCUCCCGACUGUUUACCAAAAACACAGCACUCUGCUAACUCGUAAGAGGAUGUAUAGGGUGUGACGCCUGCCCGGUGCUCGAAGGUUAAUUGAUGACGUUAGCUCUGCGAAGCGUUUGAUCGAAGCCCGAGUAAACGGCGGCCGUAACUAUAACGGUCCUAAGGUAGCGAAAUUCCUUGUCGGUUAAAUACCGACCUGCAUGAAUGGCGUAACGAGAUGGGAGCUGUCUCGAAGAGGGAUCCAGUGAAAUUGUAGUGGAGGUGAAAAUUCCUCCUACCCGCGGCAAGACGGAGAGACCCCGUGGACCUUUACUACAGCUUGACACUGCUACUUGGAUAAAGAUGCGCAGGAUAGGUGGGAGGCUUUGAUUCGUAGAUCUCGGUUUACGAUGAGCCAUUGUUGAGAUACCACCCUUCUUUAUUCGGGUAGCUAACUAGCCUAAGUUAUCCUUAGGUAGGACAAUGUCUGGUGGGUAGUUUGACUGGGGCGGUCGCCUCCCAAAAUGUAACGGAGGCUUACAAAGGUUGGCUCAAAGCGGUUGGAAAUCGCUUGUAGAGUAUAAAGGCAAAAGCCAGCUUAACUGCGAGACAUACACGUCGAGCAGAGACGAAAGUCGGUCUUAGUGAUCCGGUGGUUCUGUGUGGAAGGGCCAUCGCUCAAAGGAUAAAAGGUACCCCGGGGAUAACAGGCUGAUCUCCCCCAAGAGCUCACAUCGACGGGGAGGUUUGGCACCUCGAUGUCGGCUCAUCGCAUCCUGGGGCUGUAGUCGGUCCCAAGGGUUGGGCUGUUCGCCCAUUAAAGCGGUACGCGAGCUGGGUUCAGAACGUCGUGAGACAGUUCGGUCCCUAUCUGCCGUGGGCGCAAGAAGAUUGAGGAGAGUUGACCCUAGUACGAGAGGACCGGGUUGAACCGACCACUGGUGUACCAGUUAUCCUGCCAAGGGUAGCGCUGGGUAGCUAUGUCGGGAUGAGAUAACCGCUGAAAGCAUCUAAGCAGGAAGCCAACUCCAAGAUGAAUCUUCUUUUAAGAGCUCUUAUAGACUAUAAGUUUGAUAGGCCGGGUGUGUAAUGGAUGAAAGUCCUUUAGCUGACCGGUACUAAUAGCUCGUCUGCUUAUCUUU